AUUGAACGCUGGCGGCAGGCCUAACACAUGCCAGUCGAGCGGAUGAAGGGAGCUUGCUCCUGGAUUCAGCGGCGGACGGGUGAGUAAUGCCUAGGAAUCUGCCUGGUAGUGGGGGAUAACGUCCGGAAACGGGCGCUAAUACCGCAUACGUCCUGAGGGAGAAAGUGGGGGAUCUUCGGACCUCACGCUGUCAGAUGAGCCUAGGUCGGAUUAGCUAGUUGGUGGGGUAAAGGCCUACCAAGGCGACGAUCCGUAACUGGUCUGAGAGGAUGAUCAGUCACACUGGAACUGAGACACGGUCCAGACUCCUACGGGAGGCAGCAGUGGGGAAUAUUGGACAAUGGGCGAAAGCCUGAUCCAGCCAUGCCGCGUGUGUGAAGAAGGUCUUCGGAUUGUAAAGCACUUUAAGUUGGGAGGAAGGGCAGUAAGUUAAUACCUUGCUGUUUUGACGUUACCAACAGAAUAAGCACCGGCUAACUUCGUG
RNAcentral lists this ribosomal RNA (484 nucleotides) under uncultured bacterium. Its description in RNAcentral is "partial 16S ribosomal RNA". It matches the Rfam family "Bacterial small subunit ribosomal RNA", at positions 30 to 507 of the family's 1533-position model. The record is from RNAcentral.